This is a non-coding RNA of Electrophorus electricus (electric eel), 312 nucleotides long. The record is from RefSeq and is a predicted model, not a curated record. NCBI's taxonomy places the organism in Eukaryota, Metazoa, Chordata, Actinopteri, Gymnotiformes, Gymnotidae.
GAAGUUACUUAUGCUGAGAUCGAACUGAAACGAAAACAGUAAGCAAAGAAAAAAGAAGAGAAAAGCAGUGUGGGGGCAGACACUGUAUACUCAGAGCUGAGGCAGGACUCACACAAAGGUUGUUGAGGAACAGCACAGACUGCUGGGAAACAGAGUUCAUCCUCCUGUGUUACUCACUCAAGCUUCUACAAGACCAGGAGUUUAAACCCUCUUAUCCAAGUGUUCAUUCAUUUAUUUGGUUUAAACACAUUUUAAAUGACCAUUUCAGGUACUCAUGUCUACAACAGGAAGAUGUUUUAUAACAGAUGGAGA